UUCUUGAAAAAAUAUGACCGGUGGAUCCGUAAAACAAGAAAUAAAAUUGGUCUGGUCUAAUCAUUUCAGCAAUAUAAUCAUUGGCAAUACAGAUAUAUUUUCCUUAUUUUACUUCUUACAGCAGUGAAAAAUGUUAUAAUUGUUGAAACAGGUUAAGAGCAUAUAUGGGUCAUACUUAAAGGGAGGUAACUGUUGCAUGUUUUUUUUCAGAUUGCCUCCCCCUUCCCCAGCACAAACUCAUAGUUGCAUCUUGGCUAUACAAACUUAACCAGUUCAAGUGAGAUCUGAGAGAAGAGGAAUGACUGACAUGAUGAACUGACAGAGGAAAAUGGUGACUUACAGUUUGAGUGAAAAUGUUGACUGAAUACUGCUUGAAGGAAGUAUGUGCAUAUGUCUUCCUGUUUGGGGCUGACUUUAAUCUGUCUUUAUGUUAUUGACAACCUUGCUGUCAGAACAUUAGAUGACUUAAUAAAGAGAAUGUUAGCAAAGAUA
Molecule: long non-coding RNA, 492 nt
Filed under: Haliotis rubra (blacklip abalone)
Lineage: Eukaryota; Metazoa; Mollusca; Gastropoda; Lepetellida; Haliotidae
Description: uncharacterized LOC124256708, transcript variant X2
Source: RNAcentral